Molecule: small RNA, 588 nt
Filed under: Pongo abelii (Sumatran orangutan)
Lineage: Eukaryota; Metazoa; Chordata; Mammalia; Primates; Hominidae
Description: processed transcript
Source: RNAcentral
UUAGGUAGGGCUCAAGAUGGGUGGGCAGCGGAAACCAGGUGAACUUUAAUCCCUUCCAUUCCUGAAAUGUGUUAGUUUUAUGAAAUAUCUCUCUCUGCAAAAUGUCUCCACCACUUGACUUUGGAUUUCUAAGAAAUGUUUCUCUGAAUAGAUGUAGAGUAGCAUUUCCCAGAUUGCGUUCUGAAGCACGCUACUGCCAGGCACUCAUGGAUUUUGGAGGAGAAAAAAAAAUCCAUGGUCCGGGUUUGUUCCAUGGCUAUCCCAUGAGUCAUUAUAAAUAGAAUGAAUUAUCAAGGAAGCUUCUGGAAUCUUUUUAUCUUAAGGGGCCUUUGAAAGUUGCAUAUAAUUGUGGGAUAAGAAGAACAUGCAUUUGAAGGGAAUACCUUUCUAACUUAGGUUUCCAAGACAAGUGGAACUGAAGAGGCAGAGAGCCAGAAGCUACCCCAGAUUUCACGGAUCUGAAGCCCAGAAGGUUACAUACAGACCUUGCUUAAAGUCAUACAGCCAGUAUGGAGUUCUCACUCCAGAGAAUGGACAGCCUUGUGGAUGAUCGUGUCAACAUCCUGGGAUUUUCCAUUUUCAACCAAU